UGGGCAACCUGCCCUCAGCUCUGGGAUAACUCCAAGAAAUUGAUGCUAAUACCGGAUGUGACCGCUGACCGCAUGGUCUGGUGAUGGAAAGAUUCAUCGGCUGAGGAUGGGCCCGCGGCCUAUCAGCUUGUUGGUGGGGUAAUGGCACACCAAGGCGACGACGGGUAGCCGGCCUGAGAGGGUGACCCGGCCACACUGGGACUGAGACACGGCCCAGAUCCGUAACGGGG
Molecule: ribosomal RNA, 230 nt
Filed under: uncultured bacterium
Lineage: Bacteria
Description: partial 16S ribosomal RNA
Rfam family: Bacterial small subunit ribosomal RNA
Source: RNAcentral